Molecule: ribosomal RNA, 650 nt
Filed under: uncultured marine bacterium
Lineage: Bacteria
Description: bacterial SSU rRNA
Rfam family: Bacterial small subunit ribosomal RNA
Source: RNAcentral
GUGGCAGACGGGUGAGUAACAUGUGGGUAUCUACCCUUUGGCCUGGAAUAACACGAGGAAACUUGUGCUAAUACCGGAUAAGUCUUUACGGAGAAAGCUUUAUGCACCAUUGGAUGAGCCCGCAAUUGAUUAGUUUGUUGGUGGGGUAAUGGCCUACCAAGACUGUGAUCAAUAGCUGAUUUGAGAGGAUGAUCAGCCACAUUGGGACUGAGACACGGCCCAAACUCCUACGGGAGGCAGCAGUGGGGAAUCUUGCACAAUGGAGGAAACUCUGAUGCAGCGAUGCCGCGUGAGUGAAGAAGGCCCUUGGGUUGUAAAGCUCUUUCGUCGGGGAAGAAAAUGACUGUACCCGAAUAAGAAGGUCCGGCUAACUUCGUGCCAGCAGCCGCGGUAAUACGAAGGGACCUAGCGUAGUUCGGAAUUACUGGGCUUAAAGAGUUCGUAGGCGGUUGAAAAAGUUGGUGGUGAAAUCCCAGAGCUUAACUCUGGAACUGCCAUCAAAACUUUUCAGCUAGAGUUUGAUAGAGGAAAGCAGAAUUUCUAGUGUAGAGGUGAAAUUCGUAGAUAUUAGAAAGAAUACCAAUUGCGAAGGCAGCUUUCUGGAUCAUUACUGACGCUGAGGAACGAAAGCAUGGGUAGCGAAGAGGAUU